Molecule: long non-coding RNA, 928 nt
Organism: Rosa rugosa (rugosa rose)
Lineage: Eukaryota; Viridiplantae; Streptophyta; Magnoliopsida; Rosales; Rosaceae
Exons: 2
Source: RefSeq, a predicted model, not a curated record
AUCAAGAAAAAGAAUUUGCAAUUACGUCAUCUGGAAGUACGCAAUGGCGACGCUUCUUCAAGCCUUCAACCUCUACGGUUACGUAGAUGGGACCUUCGAGAACGACAACGGCGAAUUUGAUGCCGCCGGCGACAAGGCCGUCAUGGCUCUUAUCAACGCCACUCUUGCACCGCCGACAAGAACCUGGAACUCACUGCUAACGUCUCGACUGAGUCUUACGUGGCCGCCAUUGAAGAUCUCCGAGUGAACUUGGCUGCCUUGGGAAGGAGAUACACGGACGCCGAGGUCAUUGAGGUCGUCAAGAACAAUAUAGCUGGGGGACUUCGUUUUGCAGUUUUCGGCGGAGAAGCUCAAGCUGAAACUCCUCCCAUGGAGUUGCACGACUUCUAUGUGAAGCUUCUUGAUGAAAAUUUCAGGCUUUCCAAGACAAGGUUUCCACCCCCUGGCUCUCUCUAUGCCUAAAGGAAGGACUCCUCGUUCUGGACGAGAAUGUUAGUCAGUGAGUACAGAGCAUUUUGUUUUGGAACUGAAAGAGUGGUAUUCUUUAUAUUCAAAGGAUCAACACGUCUCCAAGGUGACAUACAAUUCAAAGGAUCAUUGUUGACGUUCUUUCAUUUCAUUUUGGAGUAGAUGAUGAGAGUUAUGCAAUUUAAUGUUCUAGGCAGUGUACAUUCUGUUAAUUGAUAGUCCAGGUCGAGUUAGUCAGUGGGGUGUUUCCUGUUAAUAUCAGUUGAUAAUUCCGAUUAGGGAUUAACAAUUCCAAGUGCAGUUACUCAGUCUCGUAAACUUUCAUGAGAUAAUGUGGUGUUUCCUGUUCAUAUGAGAUUCAUGACUCUUGGAAUUGAUGUCAGGGUAAACCCCUGUUUUGAUGACAAUACAGUAUUGUAAAUGUGUUAGCUUGAUGAUUUUGAAGGUGCCAUUUUUUUCA